CUUAUAUUGAUAUUGAUGGUUAAUAGCCUUAAACCUUAUUGUGUACUACUGAAUGUUUUAGAUCAAUUUUAUUUUCCUUUCUUUUUGAGACAGGGUCUCACUCUGUGGCCCAGGCUGAUGUGCAGUGGUGUGAUCACAGCUCACUGCAACCUCCAGUUCCUGGGCUCAAGCGAUCCUCCCACCUCAGCCUCCCGAGUAGCUUGGACUACAGGCGUGUGCCACCAUGCUCAGUUAAUUUUUACAUUUUUUGUAGUGAUGACAUCUCACUACAUUGCCCAGGCUGGUCUUGAACUCUUAGGCUCAAGCAAUCCUCCUGCUUUGGCAUCCCAAAGUGCUGGGAUUAUAGGUAUGAGCCACUGCACCAGACCUAUUUUCCUUUUUAUCAUUAAUUAUGGAUUAACAUUUGGUUAACACAGUGCUCAGUUGUCACCGGAAAUGAGAGAAACCAUCACACACCUCCCGAUAUGAUGCAUCACUUCCAUAAUAUGCCCGUCAAAAAUCGAUAAUCUGAAUCUAAUCUUGAGGAAAUUUAAGACAAACCCAAACUGGGAGAUGUUCUCCAAAAUAAACAGUUUGUACUCUUCAAAAACAUCAGUCUUAAGAACCAAAGAAUAACAAUGGUAACUAAAGACGUAAUAACUAAAUGUGCUGCAUUUUUGGUAUGAAGGACAAUUAUUGGGACAAAGAGAAAACUUGAAAUAAGAGCGGUAAAUUACACAAUAAUUCCUGUUUUAAUAAUUGUACUGUCGCUACGUAAGAAAAUGUUCUUGUUCUUAGAAAAUAUAUAUGGAAGUCUUUAGGAGUAAAGGGACACUGUAUUCACAACUUCCACUCAAAUGGUUCCCAAAAUACUUCAUAGUAUCUAUAAAGACAAUGAUAAAACAAAUAUAAAACAUUUAAAAUUGGGUAAUAUGGGCAAAGGGUCAAUGAGGAUUCGUUGUACUAGUCUGCAGGGGGUUGUUUCUACUAGUUUUUUGUAGAGACGAGGUCUCAUCUCACUAUAUGUGGCCCAAAUUGGUCUCAAACUCCUGGCCUCAACUGAUUCUCCCACCUCAGCCUCUCAAAGUCUGUAAUCUUCUGAGAUUACACAAGUGCCCCACCCGGCUGCAAUUUGUUUAAGGCUUAAAAUUACUUCAAAAUAUAUAACUUUAUUUAAUAAAUAUUAAUAUUUUAUGUUAAUAUUAAGGAAAUGAAACCAAUUUCUACAACAUAGGAAUGAUUUCGGCAUGUCUAGGAGAGUCAGAGAAAAGACGGGAGGGAAAUGGGGGAGAAAGAAAAACGUGAGAGAACCUUCUACUUCCUGAAAGGCACCAUGACUCUGGAAUGUUACCUGUAAUUAAGAAUGUCAGAAGAACCGAGCCUCCAUUCUAAAGUUUCUGUGGUGAAGUCAUCUGUAUUUCCUAGGAAACUUGAAGAGGAACAAACUGAAACUUGACAAAACUCAGAAGAGACUUACAAGAAUCAGAAAUGCACACAUGGUGCCAUAUUUGGAAGUCAUGAAGAAAAACUGAACAGCAUUACCGAGGAAAAACUUCUUACUCCUAAAUAUGCAACACUGUCAGUAAGAAGCACAUUAAGGCUAAGGGUUACUAAUAAUAUUUAAAUAAAUGUGGCCAUUAUGCUUCUAGGGAAUUAAAAAAUACCAGUAGUAACUUUUUUAUUUUUUAUUUUUUUGGAGGUGGCGUAUUGCCCUGUCC
RNAcentral lists this long non-coding RNA (1697 nucleotides) under Pan troglodytes (chimpanzee). RNAcentral's name for it is "long non-coding RNA NONPTRT010234". The record is from RNAcentral. Lineage: Eukaryota; Metazoa; Chordata; Mammalia; Primates; Hominidae.